UACGUAGGGUGCGAGCGUUGUCCGGAAUUACUGGGCGUAAAGAGCUCGUAGGUGGUUUGUCGCGUUGUUCGUGAAAACUCACAGCUCAACUGUGGGCGUGCGGGCGAUACGGGCAGACUGGAGUACUGCAGGGGAGACUGGAAUUCCUGGUGUAGCGGUGGAAUGCGCAGAUAUCAGGAGGAACACCGGUGGCGAAGGCGGUUCUCUGGGCCUUACCUGACGCUGAGGAGCGAAAGCGUGGGGAGCAAACAGG
RNAcentral lists this ribosomal RNA (253 nucleotides) under uncultured bacterium. RNAcentral describes it as "partial 16S ribosomal RNA". It matches the Rfam family "Bacterial small subunit ribosomal RNA", at positions 524 to 776 of the family's 1533-position model. The record is from RNAcentral.